GACGAACGCUGGCGGCGUGCCUAAUACAUGCAAGUAGAACGCUGAAGGAGGAGCUUGCUUCUCUGGAUGAGUUGCGAACGGGUGAGUAACGCGUAGGUAACCUGCCUGGUAGCGGGGGAUAACUAUUGGAAACGAUAGCUAAUACCGCAUAAGAGUAGAUGUCGCAUGACAUUUGCUUAAAAGUUGCAAUUGCAUCACUACCAGAUGGACCUGCGUUGUAUUAGCUAGUUGGUGAGGUAACGGCUCACCAAGGCAACGAUACAUAGCCGACCUGAGAGGGGGGUCGGCCACACUGGGACUGAGACACGGCCCAGACUCCUACGGGAGGCAGCAGUAGGGAAUCUUCGGCAAUGGACGGAAGUCUGACCGAGCAACGCCGCGUGAGUGAAGAAGGUUUUCGGAUCGUAAAGCUCUGUUGUAAGAGAAGAACGAGUGUGAGAGUGGAAAGUUCACACUGUGACGGUAUCUUACCAGAAAGGGACGGCUAACUACGUG
This 495-nucleotide ribosomal RNA is filed under the name uncultured bacterium. RNAcentral describes it as "partial 16S ribosomal RNA". It matches the Rfam family "Bacterial small subunit ribosomal RNA", at positions 28 to 507 of the family's 1533-position model. The record is from RNAcentral.